CAUUUUAUUAGUUUAUUGCAGUUUUUGAUUGAAGUAACACAUUAUAUUAUAUGUACAUGUUGUUUAUUUUUAAUUUGCAAAGUUAAAAUAUUUCAAAUUCUAGGUACUCUUGCAAUAAUACUUUAAUUAUACCAAAACUUUGUUUUUGGAUUAUAAUUCUAUAGGUCCUGGUUCAAAGUUUAUAAUUUGAUUAUUGGGAAGCCCAUAGUUAACCAUUUCUUUCUAUAUGGCAUUGGUGGGAAUAUCUUGCUGACCAAGUUUUAACCAUAAACUUUGUCUUCUUUGUCUACUGCAAGUGAAGCCUUUAACAUGAUAAAUUUCUAUUUUUUCUUGAUUUAAAGGAAAGGAAAGUAUUUACAAAAUUAUA
Molecule: non-coding RNA, 367 nt
Organism: Biomphalaria pfeifferi
Lineage: Eukaryota; Metazoa; Mollusca; Gastropoda; Planorbidae
Source: the annotation of a GenBank genome assembly